UGCAGUCGAACGAUGAACUCCAGCUUGCUGGGGGGAUUAGUGGCGAACGGGUGAGUAACACGUGAGUAACCUGCCCUUGACUCUGGGAUAAGCGUUGGAAACGACGUCUAAUACCGGAUAUGACCAGCCUCGGCAUCGGGUGUUGGUGGAAAGAAUUUUGGUCAAGGAUGGACUCGCGGCCUAUCAGGUAGUUGGUGAGGUAAUGGCUCACCAAGCCUACGACGGGUAGCCGGCCUGAGAGGGUGACCGGCCACACUGGGACUGAGACACGGCCCAGACUCCUACGGGAGGCAGCAGUGGGGAAUAUUGCACAAUGGGCGAAAGCCUGAUGCAGCAACGCCGCGUGAGGGACGACGGCCUUCGGGUUGUAAACCUCUUUUAGCAGGGAAGAAGCGAAAGUGACGGUACCUGCAGAAAAAGCACCGGCUAACUACGUGCCAGCAGCCGCGGUAAUACGUAGGGUGCAAGCGUUGUCCGGAAUUAUUGGGCGUAAAGAGCUCGUAGGCGGUUUGUCGCGUCUGCUGUGAAAACCCGAGGCUCAACCUCGGGCCUGCAGUGGGUACGGGCAGACUAGAGUGCGGUAGGGGAGAUUGGAAUUCCUGGUGUAGCGGUGGAAUGCGCAGAUAUCAGGAGGAACACCGAUGGCGAAGGCAGAUCUCUGGGCCGUUACUGACGCUGAGGAGCGAAAGGGUGGGGAGCAAACAGGCUUAGAUACCCUGGUAGUCCACCCCGUAAA
This 736-nucleotide ribosomal RNA is filed under the name Microbacteriaceae bacterium MJ_2. RNAcentral describes it as "bacterial SSU rRNA". It matches the Rfam family "Bacterial small subunit ribosomal RNA", at positions 56 to 806 of the family's 1533-position model. The record is from RNAcentral. Lineage: Bacteria; Bacillati; Actinomycetota; Actinomycetes; Micrococcales; Microbacteriaceae.